Molecule: ribosomal RNA, 1131 nt
Filed under: Acinetobacter sp.
Lineage: Bacteria; Pseudomonadati; Pseudomonadota; Gammaproteobacteria; Moraxellales; Moraxellaceae
Description: bacterial SSU rRNA
Rfam family: Bacterial small subunit ribosomal RNA
Source: RNAcentral
GGCAGGGAAGUCAUGGGCGCAGCCUGAUCAGCCAUGCCGCGUGUGUGAAGAAGGCCUUAUGGUUGUAAAGCACUUUAAGCGAGGAGGAGGCUACUUUAGUUAAUACCUAGAGAUAGUGGACGUUACUCGCAGAAUAAGCACCGGCUAACUCUGUGCCAGCAGCCGCGGUAAUACAGAGGGUGCAAGCGUUAAUCGGAUUUACUGGGCGUAAAGCGCGCGUAGGCGGCUAAUUAAGUCAAAUGUGAAAUCCCCGAGCUUAACUUGGGAAUUGCAUUCGAUACUGGUUAGCUAGAGUGUGGGAGAGGAUGGUAGAAUUCCAGGUGUAGCGGUGAAAUGCGUAGAGAUCUGGAGGAAUACCGAUGGCGAAGGCAGCCAUCUGGCCUAACACUGACGCUGAGGUGCGAAAGCAUGGGGAGCAAACAGGAUUAGAUACCCUGGUAGUCCAUGCCGUAAACGAUGUCUACUAGCCGUUGGGGCCUUUGAGGCUUUAGUGGCGCAGCUAACGCGAUAAGUAGACCGCCUGGGGAGUACGGUCGCAAGACUAAAACUCAAAUGAAUUGACGGGGGCCCGCACAAGCGGUGGAGCAUGUGGUUUAAUUCGAUGCAACGCGAAGAACCUUACCUGGCCUUGACAUAGUAAGAACUUUCCAGAGAUGGAUUGGUGCCUUCGGGAACUUACAUACAGGUGCUGCAUGGCUGUCGUCAGCUCGUGUCGUGAGAUGUUGGGUUAAGUCCCGCAACGAGCGCAACCCUUUUCCUUAUUUGCCAGCGAGUAAUGUCGGGAACUUUAAGGAUACUGCCAGUGACAAACUGGAGGAAGGCGGGGACGACGUCAAGUCAUCAUGGCCCUUACGGCCAGGGCUACACACGUGCUACAAUGGUCGGUACAAAGGGUUGCUACCUAGCGAUAGGAUGCUAAUCUCAAAAAGCCGAUCGUAGUCCGGGAUUGGAGUCUGCAACUCGACUCCAUGAAGUCGGAAUCGCUAGUAAUCGCGGAUCAGAAUGCCGCGGUGAAUACGUUUCUCGGGCCUUGUACACACCGCUCGUCACACCAUGGAGUUUGUGCACCAGAGUAGCUAGCCUAACUGCAAGAGGGCGGUUACCACGGUGUGGCCGAUGACUGGGGUGAGU